GUAUGAACAUCCUAGUCUUGAAAAGCAUGUAUUUCAUUCGCAGGUCUUCUGUAUCCUCAUGGUUCAGCUCAUGGUCACAUUUGGUGUGGUGUCACUCUUCACAUUUUGUGAACCAGUCCGGAAGUUUGUACAGUACAAUCGAGUUUUCUAUCUGACCUCAUACAUGACUUUUAUGGGAACAUACCUGAUGCUUGUAUGCAGCACAAAUGCACGGUAAGAAGA
Molecule: long non-coding RNA, 222 nt
Organism: Sinocyclocheilus grahami
Lineage: Eukaryota; Metazoa; Chordata; Actinopteri; Cypriniformes; Cyprinidae
Exons: 3
Source: RefSeq, a predicted model, not a curated record